RNAcentral lists this transfer RNA (69 nucleotides) under Pyura mirabilis. RNAcentral describes it as "tRNA-Trp". The record is from RNAcentral. Lineage: Eukaryota; Metazoa; Chordata; Ascidiacea; Stolidobranchia; Pyuridae.
AGAGUUUUAGGUUAAAGAUAAACUAAUCGUUUUCAAAACGAUAGAUAUUUUUGGAGAAGAUAAACUCUG